GACGAACGCUGGCGGCGUGCCUAAUACAUGCAAGUAGGACGCACAGUUUACAUCGUAGCUUGCUACACCAUAGACUGUGAGUUGCGAACGGGUGAGUAACGCGUAGGUAACCUGCCUAUUAGAGGGGGAUAACUAUUGGAAACGAUAGCUAAUACCGCAUAACAGUAUGUAACACAUGUUAGAUGCUUGAAAGAUGCAAUUGCAUCGCUAGUAGAUGGACCUGCGUUGUAUUAGCUAGUAGGUAGGGUAAAGGCCUACCUAGGCAACGAUACAUAGCCGACCUGAGAGGGUGAUCGGCCACACUGGGACUGAGACACGGCCCAGACUCCUACGGGAGGCAGCAGUAGGGAAUCUUCGGCAAUGGGGGGAACCCCUGACCGAGCAACGCCGCGUGAGUGAAGAAAGGUUUUUCGGAUCGUAAAAGCUCUGGUG
This 432-nucleotide ribosomal RNA is filed under the name Streptococcus anginosus. RNAcentral describes it as "bacterial SSU rRNA". It matches the Rfam family "Bacterial small subunit ribosomal RNA", at positions 28 to 438 of the family's 1533-position model. Lineage: Bacteria; Bacillati; Bacillota; Bacilli; Lactobacillales; Streptococcaceae. The record is from RNAcentral.